CCGCCGGACAGUUUAUUCCAGAUAUGAAACAAUUAUGAUAUACAUGAACCAACGAAAACCACUGAAUUACAGGCUCCUUCCUGGCUUGGGACAGGCACAUACAGAAUAUGCGGGGUUAAACUAGUUUGAAGGCGCAAACAUUUCACUAACCUGGAACAGUGAUGUAAGACAUGACAGAGCAACAUUAGAAAACAAGAAUGUGUCCAUAGUACACGGAUGCCCCAUCCGCCAUAUUAUUUUCUAUGUUCAAUGGACCGUGAAAAUGGGGGAAAAUCUCUAAUUUG
Molecule: long non-coding RNA, 284 nt
Filed under: Mytilus galloprovincialis (Mediterranean mussel)
Lineage: Eukaryota; Metazoa; Mollusca; Bivalvia; Mytilida; Mytilidae
Source: RNAcentral